Molecule: ribosomal RNA, 1515 nt
Filed under: Triticum aestivum (bread wheat)
Lineage: Eukaryota; Viridiplantae; Streptophyta; Magnoliopsida; Poales; Poaceae
Description: partial small subunit ribosomal RNA
Source: RNAcentral
GAAUCGUGGGUUAUCCUCUCCUAACUCACAUGGACGUCCCGAAGGUACGGUAAGAUAAUAAUCGAGACGGUUUCAGAGCUCGAGACGGUGGCAGAGCAGACCUCGCCUAACCCGUCGGUGCCACCACAAACUGAAGCUGGGAAAGAGUAGAGAGGAGAGGAGAGAAAGAGAGAGACUUCAGAAUUGGUCUCGUUCUUCAUCCGAAGAGGUACCGAACGACAAUCAAACCUGGCCGUGACCCGAAACUACUACCACCUCUCCCUCUCUCUACUCCCUCUUCGUUACCGGCACUUGUCCGGUGCCGUCCUUCCUCUUCCUCGUCUUCGGCGUCGCCGUGGCCGUGGCCCUGGUCGUCCGUGUCCCCUCUUCCAACUCCCCGUCUCCCUACUGCCUCUUUCUCUGCUGCCGCUCCUCGCCUUCCUCUUCUCGCUCCUCCUUCUGCUCCGCCUCCUUUUCUUUCUGUUCCACCUCGACCUUCUCACCAGGCUCUAUUCCGACCGGUAGCGCCUCGACAGGGGCUAGUCGGCCGCGCCGCCGUUCGACACGUGGAGCGGAGGGUGCGACGGGAAGGAGCCGGAGAGGGUGGAGGAGGAGGUCGAGGAGCUAUUCUAACCAGGCUGUUACCGUCACGACGCCGAGCUGCAGGUUGCCUUGUAGCUCUCCGACGUCCUCGAUAUGAACGUCCUGGGUAGAUUUAUGAGGUGAGACUGCCGCUACCAGCUCUUUCUCCGGCUGCUGCCGUGGCACUCCUUCCGGCUAUCGACACGUUCUCGAUAAGAUACCGAGUGAUCUAGGUACCUAAAGUGACAACGUGACAAUGUCUCUGACCUCUUCCUCCUCCUCCUCCUCCUCCUCCUCCCAAGACUAGUCGUCUCGGAACGUGUCGAGCAUCUUCUACGCAUGUUCCAGAGAGAGUUCGGUACCGUACCGACCUAAAGAAGGCGCCGUACGUUCUAGCGCAACUUCGAGUAGGGACUCUCCCGCUAGAAGCAGCCGACCGAGUACCCCCUUUUGGUCUCAAUGUCAGAGGAGUUCCAGCUCUAGCUCUUCGAGCAGGUCGACGAGGUCGGGAAAGAGCUGCUGUAGGUACGGUACGACCGGUUCAAGUUUGACCUGUCCGACUUCAGCUGGACUCCCGCUUACGAUUCUACCAGAGGUAAUAGUUUAAGGUGAAGACACUUAUGGCGGAACCAAACAUGAAACAUCACAUGUACAAAGAGAAAAAACUCGACAGGCACUAGCACGCGGAGUGAGACAUUUAUCCAGAAGUACAUCCCAUCCUGAUCUAAACAUCGCGAGGAACGCCCAUGCUCAAGACGGAUCAGUUACAUGAACAGGUAGAAAGAUCGUCAUUUAACGUAAAAGGUGGCACGUAGAGCUGUGAUUGACGGGUCUUCAACCGAAACAAACAUCUCCGAACGAAGUCAUGUAACUGUACGAGACUUGAUUCCCUCCAAAUCUGUACUUAGUUUAAGUCUCUAGUGUUACUUAAUCGGGGCUUAAGUCUCCCCUAAA